UACGUAGGGUGCAAGCGUUGUCCGGAAUUAUUGGGCGUAAAGAGCUCGUAGGCGGUUUGUCGCGUCGAAUGUGAAAACCCGGGGCUCAACCCCGGGCCUGCAUCCGAUACGGGCAGACUAGAGUUCGGUAGGGGAGUCUGGAAUUCCUGGUGUAGCGGUGAAAUGCGCAGAUAUCAGGAGGAACACCGGUGGCGAAGGCGGGACUCUGGCCGACUGACUGCGCUGAGGCGAGCGAAGACGUGGGGGAGCAAACAGG
Molecule: ribosomal RNA, 256 nt
Filed under: uncultured bacterium
Lineage: Bacteria
Description: partial 16S ribosomal RNA
Rfam family: Bacterial small subunit ribosomal RNA
Source: RNAcentral